RNAcentral lists this ribosomal RNA (253 nucleotides) under uncultured bacterium. RNAcentral describes it as "partial 16S ribosomal RNA". It matches the Rfam family "Bacterial small subunit ribosomal RNA", at positions 524 to 776 of the family's 1533-position model. The record is from RNAcentral.
UACGGUGGGGGCAAGCGUUGUUCGGAAUUACUGGGCGUAAAGGGUUUGUAGGUGGCCAACUAAGUCAGACGUGAAAUCCCUCAGCUUAACUGGGGAACUGCGUCUGAUACUGGUUGGCUUGAGUGCAGGAGAGGAAUGCGGAAUUCCAGGUGUAGCGGUGAAAUGCGUAGAUAUCUGGAGGAAUACCGGUGGCGAAGGCGGCAUCCUGGACCGGCAUUGACGCUGAUGAGCGAAAGCUAGGGGAGCAAACGGG